Molecule: ribosomal RNA, 498 nt
Filed under: uncultured eukaryote
Lineage: Eukaryota
Description: bacterial SSU rRNA
Rfam family: Eukaryotic small subunit ribosomal RNA
Source: RNAcentral
UAGUCAUACGCUUGUCUAAAAGACUAAGCCAUGCAUGUCUAAGUAUAAGCUUUUAUACGGCGAAACUGCGAAUGGCUCAUUAUAACAGUUAUAAUUUAUUCGGUGAUGAAAUCUACAUGGAUAACCGUGGUAAUUCUAGAGCUAAUACAUGCUAAAAGGCCUUAACAGGUUGCAGUUAUUAGACUUAGAACUUUCUUUUUGGUGAUUCAUAGUAACUUUGCGAAUCGUUUUGAUAGACCGUAUAAGUUUCUGACCUAUCAGCUUUUGACGGUAAGGUAUUGGCUUACCGUGGCAUUCACGGGUAACGGGGAAUUAGGGUUCGAUUCCGGAGAGGGAGCCUGAGAGACGGCUACCACAUCUAAGGAUGGCAGCAGGCGCGCAAAUUACCCAAUCCUGAUACAGGGAGGUAGUGACAAGAAAUAACGAAGCAGGACACAUUGUGAUUCUGCUGUUGGAAUGAGUGGGUUUUAAAAAUCCUCACGAGUAACAAUUGGAGGA